UCUGAGUGUGUCAGCGGUGCUGUGAGGUCGUUUUCCCGGAGGCUUCGCAAAUUCUGCUGGGGGAUCUUUUUAUUUUCUUUCGUUUAACUCUCUGUCAGUAAUAGUCUAGAUUUUUAAAGUUGUAGUUAGUGGUAGAGUACGACAUAGUUUUGCCAAAUAUCUUGUGCUGGUGUUUUAAAGACGAGGUCUGAUGUAUUUUCUUUGAGAUCAGCGUAAAUGCCUACCAUCUUUUUUCUUUUGUUUUAAUUUUUUCUAACAUCGUGACAAACGCCAACUUUUCUGCUGAUUCUCAUCCUUUACACUGAACACAAGUCUGCCUGUCCUCUCUCUUCUCACUCAGCAUCUCUUAA
RNAcentral lists this long non-coding RNA (350 nucleotides) under Carassius auratus (goldfish). Its description in RNAcentral is "lncRNA (ENSCARG00000027917.1)". The record is from RNAcentral. Lineage: Eukaryota; Metazoa; Chordata; Actinopteri; Cypriniformes; Cyprinidae.